This is an unclassified non-coding RNA of Ictidomys tridecemlineatus (thirteen-lined ground squirrel), 152 nucleotides long. Lineage: Eukaryota; Metazoa; Chordata; Mammalia; Rodentia; Sciuridae. The record is from Ensembl.
CCCUCCAACCUUGUUUCCCUCCUCCUUUGUCACUGUGGAGAAACAGGAAGGAAUGUUUAUUAAAAAAGGCUGACUAGGGUCACACCCAUAGUAAUAUCAGAUUUUUAACCUCCCCUGGCCUUGAGAAGAGGUUCAAAGAUCAGGGCCCAGCU